CAGGCUCAGGAUGAACGCUGGCGGCGUGCCUAAUACAUGCAAGUCGAGCGAACAGAUGAGAAGCUUGCUUCUCUGAUGUUAGCGGCGGACGGGUGAGUAACACGUGGGUAACCUACCUAUAAGACUGGGAUAACUCCGGGAAACCGGGGCUAAUACCGGAUAAUAUAUUGAACCGCAUGGUUCAAUGUUGAAAGACGGUUUCGGCUGUCACUUAUAGAUGGACCCGCGCCGUAUUAGCUAGUUGGUAAGGUAACGGCUUACCAAGGCAACGAUACGUAGCCGACCUGAGAGGGUGAUCGGCCACACUGGAACUGAGACACGGUCCAGACUCCUACGGGAGGCAGCAGUAGGGAAUCUUCCGCAAUGGGCGAAAGCCUGACGGAGCAACGCCGCGUGAGUGAUGAAGGUCUUAGGAUCGUAGAAACUCUGUUGUUAGGGAAGAACAAAAUUUGUUAGUAACUGAACAAGUCUUGACGGUACCUAACCAGAAAGCCACGGCAAGUAU
Molecule: ribosomal RNA, 505 nt
Filed under: Mammaliicoccus lentus
Lineage: Bacteria; Bacillati; Bacillota; Bacilli; Caryophanales; Staphylococcaceae
Description: bacterial SSU rRNA
Rfam family: Bacterial small subunit ribosomal RNA
Source: RNAcentral